GACGAACGCUGGCGGCGUGCCUAAUACAUGCAAGUCGAGCGAAGUUUUUCUGGUGCUUGCCCUAGAAAAACUUAGCGGCGAACGGGUGAGUAACACGUAAAGAACCUGCCUCAUAGACUGGGACAACUAUUGGAAACGAUAGCUAAUACCGGAUAACAGUAUUUCUCGCAUGAGAGAUAUUUAAAAGUUGGUUAUGCUAACACUAUGAGAUGGCUUUGCGGUGCAUUAGCUAGUUGGUGGGGUAAAGGCCCUCCAAGGCGACGAUGCAUAGCCGACCUGAGAGGGUGAUCGGCCACACUGGGACUGAGACACGGCCCAGACUCCUACGGGAGGCAGCAGUAGGGAAUCUUCCGCAAUGGGCGAAAGCCUGACGGAGCAACGCCGCGUGAGUGAAGAAGGAUUUCGGUUCGCAAAGCUCUGUUGUUAGGGAAGAAUGGAUAUGUAGUAACUAUACAUGUAAGAGACGGUACCUAAACAGAAAGCCACGGCUAACUACGUG
RNAcentral lists this ribosomal RNA (499 nucleotides) under uncultured bacterium. Its description in RNAcentral is "partial 16S ribosomal RNA". It matches the Rfam family "Bacterial small subunit ribosomal RNA", at positions 28 to 507 of the family's 1533-position model. The record is from RNAcentral.